GAAUGUGAGGGUGAUCUGGCUGCAACAUCUGUCACCCUAUUGAACGCUAGGGUUGAUUCGGUUGAUCUGGCCGAAUAGGCGGGUGUCCCCUUCCUCCCUCACCGCUCCUCAUGCAUCCCUCCCAAAGCUGCACGUUCCAUCCCAGAAGAUGACCUUCUCUGACAGAGGAGGACGAUUCUUCCGUAAGGAUCUAUGAGUAGCUGCUCUCUCCUGCUAGAACUUCCAAACAAACUCUCAAGAAGUGAGGCACAGAGAAGAGCCAUUUGAUCAUGGUUCACAAGCACAUAUUUAUCACCUGAGGGUACAUUCUUU
Molecule: unclassified non-coding RNA, 312 nt
Organism: Ictidomys tridecemlineatus (thirteen-lined ground squirrel)
Lineage: Eukaryota; Metazoa; Chordata; Mammalia; Rodentia; Sciuridae
Gene: 7SK
Rfam family: 7SK RNA
About the family: 7SK was discovered as an abundant small nuclear RNA in the mid-70s but a possible function has only recently been suggested. Two independent studies have found that 7SK RNA binds the CDK9/cyclin T complex (known as elongation factor P-TEFb).
Source: Ensembl